Molecule: long non-coding RNA, 623 nt
Organism: Hypanus sabinus (Atlantic stingray)
Lineage: Eukaryota; Metazoa; Chordata; Chondrichthyes; Myliobatiformes; Dasyatidae
Exons: 3
Source: RefSeq, a predicted model, not a curated record
AUAAGACCAUAAGAUAUCGGAGCAGAAGCAGGCCGUUCAGCCCAUCGAAUCCGUUCUGCCAUUCCGUCGCGGGUAGUUUAUUAUCCCUCUCAACUCCGUUCCCCUGCCUUCUGCCCGUAAAAUUUGAUGCCCUAACUAAUCAAGAUCCUGCCGUCCUCUGCCUUAAAUGUCCCCAAUGGCUUGUCCUCGGCAGCUGCUGUGGCGAUGAACUCCACAGAUCCACCACCCUCUGGCUAAAGAAAUUCCUCCUCACUUCUGUUCUAAAGGAACGCCCUUCUGUUGUGAAACCGUGCCCUCUGGGUAAAGAAUUACACAACUGUAAGCACUGGCUGUCUUUAAGGUCACCUCUCGUCCUCCGUCACUCCAAGGAAUGGUUGCUGGGAGGUGCUGCGACCCAGGGGUUUGCUGGGCCCUGCCGUGGGCCCUGCCAGAGCUGCCUGUCGAUUAGAUGCCCUCUUGGGUGGGUGCAGAAACAUCUGGAGAGAAGAAGAAGCCCUGCCCAGUUCAUUAGUGAGGGCCACGGACUUAUCAAUCACCCAUCUGUUGACACUUUCUGGAGGUGCAAGACGCCAACUUCUGCAAAGAAGGGAUCCGUAUGCUCCACGACCGCUGGACUGUGUGUG